Molecule: unclassified non-coding RNA, 344 nt
Filed under: uncultured bacterium
Lineage: Bacteria
Description: contains 16S-23S intergenic spacer region
Source: RNAcentral
AAUCCGAGAAUUUCACCUCCAACAGUUAAAUACGAAUGCCCCCAACAAUCCCUAUUCACCUUUACCUUCGCCCAGACACCAACAGCUGGACGAUGGUCCGAUGCUAUUAUUCCAUGCUAACGUAUUCAAGGCAUUUGCCUGCUUGAAACACUCUCAUUUCCUCAAAGUAAAUGUCCUGAGUCCUGCGCCCUCACAAUUAAGUGAAGAACACGUCCUCAGAAAGAUGCAUCAAAGGUAGCCGUACGCGCCCAAUGGGUGGACCGCUCCUUCCAUGCAGAAAUCCAACUACGAGCUUUUUAACCGCAACAACUUUAAUAUACGCUAUUGGAGCUGGAAUUACCGCU